Anolis carolinensis (green anole) is the source of this 1489-nucleotide long non-coding RNA. RefSeq lists it as uncharacterized. The transcript is spliced from 3 exons. The record is from RefSeq and is a predicted model, not a curated record. NCBI's taxonomy places the organism in Eukaryota, Metazoa, Chordata, Lepidosauria, Squamata, Anolidae.
UAUCUCCCAAACUAAUUCACCGAUUGCUACAAAAUGUGGACACAACGUAGCAUUCAAACUGGCAAGUUUAAAGCUAUUCACAUAUCUACUAUCACAAACCUGUCACACCUGAGACAGGUGAAACCAUGUCCCUUAGCAACGGCCAAUCAGUCUCCUCCUCCCUUAGCAACUUCCAUAGCAGAUGGCUCCUCCCCUUAACAACAGUGCUAGCAAUAGCCAAGCAGUCUCCUCCCUUUAGCAACUGGCAUGGGUGGGACCGCAAGGGAUGGCUAGGCCACUCAGUUUGGCUUGGCAAGUUAUGUGCAGCCGAGGUUCUGUGGCCUAUCCAUGGAAAGGAGGUAUACUGAGAGUGAAAAUCCUUAUCGUGGGCCCUAGCGAGAACUGUACCUGAUUUUCCUGCUGGUGCCACUGACAGAUUUGCAAAACCUGCUCCAGUCCUUGGCGUUGCAGCUUCAGGAUUGUGAACGCUGGACAGUGAAGAUGAUGAGGCCCUUGGCCAUAUCCCGAGAAGACAUGAUUCACUAGAAAACGUAGAAACCAGCAAGAAAGGAGGAAGACCGCAUUACACAUGAUGGACUCAAUGACAAACACAAACAAACAAACUUCAUAAAAAUGUUAAAGCGAAAAAGUAGCCUUGGGGAACAGAGAGUCAGAGGGAGAAAACAGCACAAAGAGGGAGUGGUCCAAGAAUUCGCUUGCAAACAAAUGUACAGAAAUAUAAAGUUAAUGCAUCUGUGCUUGUAAAAGAUGGAAUUGUUACCUGUGUUUUUCCCGUUACUUUUUGCAAAGGCUGCUGGGAGUUUGGGCUUUACGAACAAUCAACAUGCCUAAUUUGCAUGUCUAGUUUCAAGACUGUGAUUAAAAUUGGAAAAAGUACCAUCAAGGCAUUUCUAUUUCUCCUUCUCAACAUACCUACUGAUAAAAUCUGAUUUGACUUCACAAAACGAACAAUGCAAAAGACAAUUUUAAUUACAUACAUGACUUCCCACUUCCUGAAUCCUUAUCUCUCCGAAAAGACGUAAAAACAAAGAAUGAAAGAUAUUGGAUGUCAACCCUUCCUUCUUUGGGAAAUAGCCAUAUUUUAAGACAAUUUUCCCAGUGGCAAAGUUUCAUUUGAUUGUUUUCAGUAAUGGAGUCCUUUUGUGCAAUAGCAAUUAGUUGCUAUCAGGAAUGCUAACUCAAAUUGUUUUGUGAUGAGCCUUUAAUAUCAAUGGAGAUUGAAAUGAGACCAGCUAAACAGGUAUUAAACUUCAAUUUGCUAGUCUAACUUCUUGAACAAGCCAAUAAGUUUGGAUCACUAUUUUUUAAAGAGUUUGAUAAAAUGUGAUAAAAUAGUGUUCUGAGCAGUCAACAGUAGAUUCUGAGCAGUCAACAAUAGAUUUAUCUGCCUUCUCUAUAUUUGGAUGAAAACCACAUGGCUACACCACAAAGCUAAAGGAAGAAAAGAGGUAUAAUAAACCCAUUAAGAAUUAAAAAGGCAUUUUGAAUG